Non-coding RNA from Pelobates cultripes (western spadefoot toad), 364 nucleotides. The record is from the annotation of a GenBank genome assembly. Lineage: Eukaryota; Metazoa; Chordata; Amphibia; Anura; Pelobatidae.
UUGUCCACGUUGGCCGUGGACAGGCAGCUGCGCUUGUCUGUGAUAACCUUGUGCGAAUCGCUCGUCCCCGUGCCCUAUCAACUUUCGAUGCAAUUUUCUGCACCUACCAUGGUGACCACAGGUAAUGGGGAAUCAGGGUUCGAUUCCAGAGAGAGAGCCUGAGAAACGGCUACCACAUGCUAGGAAGGCAGCAGGCGAGCAAAUUACCCACUCCCGACGUGGGGAGGUAGUGACGACAAAUAACAAUACACUACUCUUUCGAGGCCCUGUCAUUGUAAAGAGUCCACUUUAAAUCCUUUAACUUGGUUCAAUUGGAGGGCAAGUCUGGUGCAGAGUGACUGACCCGUGCGUGCUGCAGCUGAAA